Theobroma umbraticum is the source of this 1853-nucleotide RNA transcript. It is a transcript of the gene named Afadin/alpha-actinin-binding protein, with no coding region annotated. Lineage: Eukaryota; Viridiplantae; Streptophyta; Magnoliopsida; Malvales; Malvaceae. The record is from RefSeq and is a predicted model, not a curated record.
UUUUCAAAUUUGUCCAACGCUUUUAAGUGCUAUUAUGUUGUAGAUCUAUCUAACAUCCAUCUAUCGCUUCACUCCUCAGACAAACAAGAAAAUACACGACCAUUUUCCGCUGUGCUUUCUUUCUCGCAAUGCCAGCGACUGAUGCAGCCUUGGAUCUUCGGCCGGCUCCGCACUCGGCCUUCUCUAUUGGAGAGUACACAUUUGCGGAUGCUGGAAACUUGGAGCACUGUGCAAAGUACUUGAACCAGACGCUCGUUACCUUCGGCUUUCCAGCGUCUCUCGAUCUCUUUGCCAAUGAUCCGGUUUCGAUCGCAAGGACUUGCAAUUGCAUUUAUUCAUUGCUUCAGCAGAGGCAGCGCGACAUUGAAUUUAGAGAGUCUGCUAAUGAACAAAGACAACGUUUGUUGUCGGAUAUAUCAAGAUUAGAGGCCAAAGUUGAGAGGCUUGAGGCACAGUUGCAAGCUAAAGAUAGAGAGAUAGCAACAAUUACCAGAACGGAAGCCAAAAAUACAGCAGCCUUUAAGGCACAGAUUGAGAAGCUACAGCAAGAAAGGGAUGAAUUUCAGAGGAUGGUGAUUGGGAAUCAGCAAGUGAGAACUCAACAAAUACAUGAAAUGAAGAAGAAGGAAAAGGAGUACAUAAAGUUGCAGGAGAGACUAAACCAAGUCUUAAUGGAGAAGAAGAAGGAAUCAAGAUCAGGAAUGGAAAUAAUGAAUUUGCUUCAGAAAGAAGGGCGGCAACGUGGAACUUGGAAUGGGAAGAAGGCAGAUAAUGAUUUCUACAAAAAGAUUGUGGAUGCCUAUGAGGCAAAAAAUCAAGAAUUGAUUGCAGAAAAUGCUGAUUUAAGAGCAUUAUUGCGAUCAAUGCAGGUAGAUAUGCGUGAUUUCUUUAAUGCCCCAAAUGGUUUGUCAAAGCAAUCCUUGCCUGUCAGUGAAAGACUUGAAAAUGAUCCCUCACAAUCUCCAUUGGUUGGGAGGACGGAUGUCUUUGACCUUCCUUUUCACAUGGCUAGGGAUCAAAUAGAAGAAAGUCUUCGCACUAAGAUGGCUUCUAUAAAGGAGCGCAUGGUUCAAUUACAAGAUGCACAAAAAGGUGCAGAAGUCACUUCUGAAGCAACAGAGAGGGAGCUUGAGCUUGAAGCUCAACUUGUUGAAGCAAGGAGCAUAAUCCAGGAGCAGGCAUCCAUUAUGUCCAAACAUCUUGCUAAGGCAGACAGACCAAGGGAAUCUAUUAUUUCAUCACCAGCUGAGGUUUUUCUUGUUGAGACUUCAUAGACUGCAGUUUGUUUAGGAGUAGCUUAUGAUGGGCUUACAUUCAUAACAUAAAAGAAACUCCUUGCUGCUAGGCGACCCCUUCCCCCCUACCCCACUGUUUUCUUGCUAAAGCUUUGAAAAAUGUAGUGUUUUUUGAAGAUCAAAGAAGCUGCCAUGUCCAAGAACAUGUGGUGAUGCGUAGUGUCUCAAAGAGCUUCCAUUUAUCUGUAUUUUCUUCUCCAGAAGAGUCAUUGUACAUGUGGCAAUCCUGCCUGCCCUUACAUAAGAUAUAGGACAUCUCUAGCAUGCAUGAUCCAGACAUUUUACACACCAUUGCAAUUAAAUUCUUGGCAACCUUGUCUGCUUACAACCUGAUGGAGUAUAACUUAGGGAGCCCAACCGCCAUGAAUUUUCGGAUUAAGACCAACUGAAGUUGGUUCGUUUUAAAAGAUGCGUGGCAGGGAGUGAGCAAGCAUGUAAAGCAUUGAGUCCUGUAUGGUGUAUUCGGUUUGUAGUAACUACAUUUAAGGCUUUCUUCUAAAGCUGUAGUAUUAAUGUAAUUGGCAAGCAUACAGUUGGCUAGUGAGAGAGAUUUGUCUA